CCCAGAGUGUACGGGGAAGAGGGCGGGGCCAGGCGUGGCUCCGACAACCAUUGGAGUGCUUCGGCCUGGGCGGGAUGGAGACUACAUUUCCCAGGGAUCAACGCGGGCCGGAAAGGGAGCGCCUCAGGCCCAGUGCGCACGCGCAUCAGCAGCCUGUGGCUAUAAAAGGGAGGU
This is a non-coding RNA of Heterocephalus glaber (naked mole-rat), 174 nucleotides long. Lineage: Eukaryota; Metazoa; Chordata; Mammalia; Rodentia; Bathyergidae. The record is from Rfam.